UAAGUAUGCAUACAUACGCACCCCCAUGGGGUCUGCCCUGAUUAAGAAGGGAACAUUCUCCCACAAGCCCCCUCCCAGCUGAUAUCUUCUCAAAGGAAACCCUUAUUCUGACCCUUAUCACCAUAAAUUGGUCUUGUCCUUGAACUUCAUAUAAAUGGACUCAUACCGUAUACAUCUGGAGUUUGGCUUCUUUCUUGUCACAUCGUCUAUGAGAGUCAUUCAUGCUGUUGCAUAGAUCAAUAGUUUGUUCUUUUUCUCAAUUGUGUAGUUUUCCAUUCCAUUCCAUUAUAUGAAUAUACAACAAUUAUUUGUCCAUCUACAAUUGUUUCUUGCCUAAAUUAGCAAUUAGCCCCUUAAUUUGUCCACUUGCGUCUCCACUUGCCUUCUAAUUUUUUCUCCACUCCAUAGCCAGAAUGGUUUACUCUGUCCUUUCUAAGAGAGAUGUGCACAUUGACUCUGGCAAGUGCUCGUAUUCUAACUAGUCUGGGUUGCGUUUUGGGAUGAAGAGAGUCCAACUUAAUAAUUUCAAUGCAACACACGUUUAUUGUGCAGCCAAGACACGGCUUCUGUUCUUUAAGAGUACAUAGGAAGUUCCUAGGAAGACAAUUGUAUAAUCUAAUAAAUUCUGUUCAGUGUGAUUGGUUGCACCAUAGUGGCAGAACACUAGGUACAGGGGGAUCACAAAGAGGGUGAAAUACUCCUCAAGAUUCCCUUCCUUGGUGCUGAGUGCACUCUCACUGAGAAACCUUCUAAUUACUGGUUGGCCUCCAAGACGCCUCGAUAUCUGGAAGCGGGUCCUUAAUAGGAGCAGAAGCAGAUCAGUCAAGAACAUCAUUGUUAAAACAACGCAUUGGGUUUCUGGGUCCACGGAUUGGUUUGUUUUGUUGCCAUGUCAUGUGCUUGGCUCGUAUGAUCCCAUCCAUGAGAAACGGGCCAAUUCCACGUAUAUGGACAGCAGUGUGCUCUGCUUUGAAAUGCUGAGAAUCAGACCCCACAAAUGCAGUACUGCCAGGUGACAUUGUUGGGCACCAGGAGCCUCCCUUUCUGACAUCUGCAGUUCUAGAGCUUUCAGCUGUGUUCAGUCCGGCACUCUGCACAAAGUAGGCCCUCAAUGCGUAAUUUUCCAUUUGACCCGACAGUGAAGUUGAAUAAAAGGCUUAUCUGCUUACUUAGAACGGGUGUUGAAGAGAAGACACGGUCAGCUUCUGAUUUACAUAGCAAGAUUUUUUUUUUAGUUGAUGAUGCCAGGUAAAUCUGUCUACUGAAACUCUCAAAUAGUUUCUUAUUUUUUUUCUAAUCCUGUCGAGAAGAUGAGGUUUUCCUUUAUGACCAGAUUCAGUUUACCAAGUGGAAUCAUAUAAAAAAUGGAAAUUACUUGUUGGUUUUAUUUGUCAUUAGUUUUUGCACUGUUAUGGCCAGGAGCUCCUUCCCCACUGGAUAAACGUGAAGGUGUCCUGUGACUUGCUGUGACUGAAGAGGCUGCCCAGUGAUGAGCUGUUCUGCCUGGAGCAUCCUUGCCUGACCAGCGCGUCUGCAGAACAUGAAUCACCAGCGGAGAUGGCCGCAGGCCAACCUCCCCUGUUACUGUGGUCCUGACCAGCUGGGUCACAUGGCUUGAAGCUGUGCUGCAGGGAGUGCUUCAACUGUCUCUGCUGUCCACCCUAGUUAGCAUCAGCCAAGACGGCUCGAGCUUCCCCAUGGCCCCGUCCUUGCUGAUCCCGACACCUGGUACUGGGAGCUGAGCCCGCCUGGCUGCAGCAUCACCUGGCAGUAUUAGGGAUUCUGCUUGCUUAUCCAUGUUGACUGUAGUUUCUGGGAGCCACUGACAAAUUGCCUCAGGAAGCCAAAUAGUUUAUCUAGGGCAGCUCCAGUCUGGCUGCUUAAAUAAAUGGUUGGACUAUCUUAAAUUUGGUCUAGAUUGAAACCUCGUGCAGA
Molecule: long non-coding RNA, 1935 nt
Filed under: Equus caballus (horse)
Lineage: Eukaryota; Metazoa; Chordata; Mammalia; Perissodactyla; Equidae
Description: lncRNA (ENSECAG00000040192.3)
Source: RNAcentral